GCCAGUGUGGCUCAGGGUUAGAGCAUUGGCCCUCACACCGAAGGGUCAUGGGUUCCAUUCCCAGUCAAGGGCA
Molecule: transfer RNA, 73 nt
Filed under: Myotis davidii
Lineage: Eukaryota; Metazoa; Chordata; Mammalia; Chiroptera; Vespertilionidae
Rfam family: tRNA
About the family: Transfer RNA (tRNA) molecules are approximately 80 nucleotides in length.
Source: Rfam by way of RNAcentral